UACGUAGGGUCCGAGCGUUGUCCGGAAUUAUUGGGCGUAAAGAGCUCGUAGGCGGUUUGUCGCGUCUGCUGUGAAAUCCCGAGGCUCAACCUCGGGCCUGCAGUGGGUACGGGCAGACUGGAGUGCGGUAGGGGAGAAUGGAAUUCCUGGUGUAGCGGUGAAAUGCGCAGAUAUCAGGAGGAACACCGAUGGCUAAGGCAGGUCUCUGGGCCAUAACUGACGCUGAGAAGCGAAAGCAUGGGGAGCGAACAGG
Molecule: ribosomal RNA, 253 nt
Filed under: uncultured bacterium
Lineage: Bacteria
Description: partial 16S ribosomal RNA
Rfam family: Bacterial small subunit ribosomal RNA
Source: RNAcentral